This is a long non-coding RNA of Chelonia mydas (Green sea turtle), 2336 nucleotides long. RefSeq lists it as uncharacterized. The transcript has 3 exons. Lineage: Eukaryota; Metazoa; Chordata; Testudines; Cheloniidae. The record is from RefSeq and is a predicted model, not a curated record.
UCUCUCCUCCCUCCACCCAUUUUGUUCCGGUUUGCCCCGCCUCUCUGGCGGUCUGGGACUACUCGUAUUGGUCAGCAUAAGAAAUAAGACUUCCUGCUGAGUCCAUUUUCUUAUCCUAUAAACACUGUUUUAUAUCAUCCUUGGACAUAUUCAGAAAUUGCUCCUGUAUCAUCAAAUCCUGCAUUCCUCCAAAGUUAGUUACAGCCCGUCCGUUGAGCCAUUUAUCAAACAGAUCUGUCAUCUGGUUUACAUAAGCCACAUUACUUAGUCCAGGCCCUCUCUUAAGGGUUCGAAAUUAUAGCUGUUGCCUCUGCUUCUGCUCCCUUCUGGCUCUUCUUCACAAGUUGCAGCAACAGAUGCUUCUGCUUCCAAGAGUUAUUUACAGGUUAAAGCAAGCAAUCAUAUAUGCACAAAUGAGUUACCAUCUAUGAUUCCUAAAAAUGGUGAAGAUGUACUAAUCUGUCCAUUCAAAAUGUCUUUCAGGGCAGACCCAGGUUGACCUUGGCGAUCUCUGCUUUGGUUUAGUGUCUCUGGUGCUGUGAGAGUUCAAAUAGCAAAGAGAGAACCAUUUCUUCUUGCAUGUAGUGAGGCGGUUACCCGGAGGAGUUGCCGAGCCUGCCCUGUGCCAGCUUUCUGGAGGAGGGAUGGCGCCUGCCCUGCACCAGCAAUCCCGAGGAACCCAUGGUGUUGGACCCCCCUGAGGACACCACUCUGACCCAGGCUGCGGAGGAAGACUCCUGUGGCCGGACUAAUUCUCUGCUAGACCUCUUCCUGAACUUAGUGAGAUGGUUGGGGUCCCCACCACCUCAGAGAGAGGUGAGCCCCGGCUUACCUCUCUACACGGCAGCACAUUGCAAACACGACUGAAAUGACUGAAAUUGGAGAACAAAAAAUUGCAUUUCCCCACAGCCAAUAAUUACUCUCUGGAAUUCCUGGUCUAGGGCUUUACAGUACCAUGCAGCUCAGCUGAAAUACUACUCUGAGUUCGUCUCAGAAGAGCUGACAUUGAAAACACAUUUUAAUAGAAAUUUCAGUGCUUCUAAACAAUGCUCAGCUGAAUGAGAAAGUUCAGUUCGUUGCCAAGAAUGCCACAGCACUGAUGGACUUAAUCACUUGGUUCAAAUCUCGACAUGUCACAAUCCACAGAAAGUACAACAAAGGAAUGGAUGUACGGUUCUGGGCUGAAGUGCAGCCAAAUGAAAAUCAUUCAGACAAUGCUGAGUUGAAUGCCAGUGCUCAGCAGAUGUUUUCUUGCAUGGCAAAGAAGCUCAGACAAUACUACUGCUACGGGGAAGAGUCAAGCGAUGCAGCAAAAAUGGCUCAAAAGUUUCAACAACCGUAGCAGGGUUCCUAAAAGCUGUGCAUAUUUUUGACUCUGCACAAAUGCACCUGUUGAUGGAUUUAACCUUGCUUAAUACAAUUCCUGGCUUUGACUAGUAUUGUAGGCUGGAGAUUCCUGCUUACAAAAAUAUUGCGAAAGAAGUGGAUUGUAGUUUGCCUGUGCUACAGUUUGGAACUCAGUGGAAGGCAGAAUCCCCCACCUCGCAAGGCUAGCUUGGCACUGUCUGACAAUUCCAGUGAACUCUGUGGAUGCAGAGAGAGCCGCGUCUAAACAUGGACAGGUGUUUCAGCACAGUGACAGGGAAUGAAGAAAGACACAGUUGCUGAAUGCUCCAUGGUGACAUUCAAUUGAUGACAUUAGAAACCAGAACUUCUUUUUUUUUUUCCAUUUGCUUUUGUUAACUUAAGACAGUGGCUCUCAAGUUUGAGGCUGCCAAUUGAGAUCGCUACCCUACAAAACUGUCCCAGAUGCCCAUAUCUACCAACCAGGCAGUUGAGCCAUGAGUGUUAUUUGCUGUUGUAAAUUAUCAGUGAAUAAAUCCUGUUAAGUUCACAUGACCUUUCUUUAUUUUAAUUGAAACAAGCUACUAAUUGCAUUUGGAAGGGGGGGGUGAGGGGUUGGGUCACAGAAACCCCUUUGGGACUGCCACCUGAUGUGCUGGGACUACCUCUGAGCCCGUUUACCUGGCAGCUUGGGACUUCAGUGCCCUGCCUGGUUGUGCCAGAGAUGCUAGCCAGGUCUGAAUUAUAUCCCCCACAAGCUGCAGGCUUAACUGAAAACAGCUUGAGAAGUGCUUCUGUCUUCAGCACUCAGAUAUCCAGCUCUCAAUGGGGUCCAAACCCCAAAUAAAUCUGUUUUACUCAUAAUUUUUUUGCCCUCUGUAACACUCAGAGAGAUAUGCACAGCUGUUUGCCCCCCCCCUCCCAGGUAGUAAUACCUCUUCUGGGUUAAUUAAUAAGUAAAAAGUGAUUUUAUUAAAUACAAAAAGUAGGAU